AAGUUAAUGGGAUAGUGUUGCCAGCAAGUUUUCCAUUUACUCAUGUGACUUGUCUCCUGGAAUAGUUAUGAAUGACAGGAUGAACCAACCAGCUAAUGAAGAUGGGACAUGACUAGAAGGACUACUAGCAAGUGCUAUACUGUGUAAUAUUUUUGGAGUGGAGAUGUCAGAGCAAGUUCUGGAUCUGCUUCUGAGACUGACUUUCAGCAGUUUUCUCAAAGCAGAGUUUCAUCUAAGCAACAAUGAAGGAAGCCUUCAAUUUCAAAUUCUCGGGGGGAUUCAAAUACUUUCUGAGAAAAAGGGUGGCUGUUCCAGGCAUGAAAUGAAUGCUGUGCUUAGCAACAAGUCAAUGCACUCUAAAGUUCUUGCAAAGGAAAACAAUUUUAUGAAGGUUCCUAAGGUGAAGUACUGUGAACAAUACAUUAAUAUGUAUUUUCCCCUAAAUACUUCUGGUUCUCUUUUCCACUUUUCUGGUGUUAUCUUUAGCAGUUAAUGGCCAUACUUCUAUCUGGUCCCAUAUCAUUAAUUUUGAUCAGAUGUUUUCUCCUCUCAGGUCCCAUAAGUGAAAAAUUCCAAACACAAUGCCUAGAUUAGCACAAAAAAGCUAGCACAUAAAGUACAAUCUUUUAAAUAAUCACAGUCAGUAACAGUAAUGCUAAUAAGAUGCCAUGAUAACAAUAAUAAUAAUAAUAACAUUAAGAAGUCUUACCUUCCAAUAAAACUUGUUGCUUUCAAAACGACCUCA
RNAcentral lists this long non-coding RNA (745 nucleotides) under Phascolarctos cinereus (koala). RNAcentral describes it as "lncRNA (ENSPCIG00000034319.1)". Lineage: Eukaryota; Metazoa; Chordata; Mammalia; Diprotodontia; Phascolarctidae. The record is from RNAcentral.